RNAcentral lists this ribosomal RNA (402 nucleotides) under uncultured Novosphingobium sp. Its description in RNAcentral is "bacterial SSU rRNA". It matches the Rfam family "Bacterial small subunit ribosomal RNA", at positions 355 to 774 of the family's 1533-position model. The record is from RNAcentral. Lineage: Bacteria; Pseudomonadati; Pseudomonadota; Alphaproteobacteria; Sphingomonadales; Sphingomonadaceae.
UGGGGAAUAUUGGACAAUGGGCGAAAGCCUGAUCCAGCAAUGCCGCGUGAGUGAUGAAGGCCUUAGGGUUGUAAAGCUCUUUUACCCGGGAUGAUAAUGACAGUACCGGGAGAAUAAGCCCCGGCUAACUCCGUGCCAGCAGCCGCGGUAAUACGGAGGGGGCUAGCGUUGUUCGGAAUUACUGGGCGUAAAGCGCACGUAGGCGGUUUCUCAAGUCAGAGGUGAAAGCCCGGGGCUCAACCCCGGAACUGCCUUUGAAACUAGGAGACUAGAAUCUUGGAGAGGUCAGUGGAAUUCCGAGUGUAGAGGUGAAAUUCGUAGAUAUUCGGAAGAACACCAGUGGCGAAGGCGACUGACUGGACAAGUAUUGACGCUGAGGUGCGAAAGCGUGGGGAGCAAACA